GACGAACGCUGGCGGCGUGCCUAAUACAUGCAAGUAGAACGCUGAAGGAGGAGCUUGCUUCUCCGGAUGAGUUGCGAACGGGUGAGUAACGCGUAGGUAACCUGCCUGGUAGCGGGGGAUAACUAUUGGAAACGAUAGCUAAUACCGCAUAAGAGUAGAUGUCGCAUGACAUUUGCUUAAAAGGUGCAACUGCACCACUACCAGAUGGACCUGCGUUGUAUUAGCUAGUUGGUGAGGUAACGGCUCACCAAGGCAACGAUACAUAGCCGACCUGAGAGGGUGAUCGGCCACACUGGGACUGAGACACGGCCCAGACUCCUACGGGAGGCAGCAGUAGGGAAUCUUUGGCAAUGGACGGAAGUCUGACCGAGCAACGCCGCGUGAGUGAAGAAGGUUUUCGGAUCGUAAAGCUCUGUUGUAAGAGAAGAACGAGUGUGAGAGUGGAAAGUUCACACUGUGACGGUAUCUUACCAGAAAGGGACGGCUAACUACGUG
Molecule: ribosomal RNA, 495 nt
Filed under: uncultured bacterium
Lineage: Bacteria
Description: partial 16S ribosomal RNA
Rfam family: Bacterial small subunit ribosomal RNA
Source: RNAcentral